Molecule: ribosomal RNA, 151 nt
Filed under: uncultured bacterium
Lineage: Bacteria
Description: partial 16S ribosomal RNA
Rfam family: Bacterial small subunit ribosomal RNA
Source: RNAcentral
CCUACGGGAGGCAGCAGCAAGGAAUAUUGUGCAAUGGGCGAAAGCCUGACACAGCGACGCCGCGUGGGGGAAGAAGGCCUUCGGGUUGUAAACCCCUUUUCUCAGGGAAGAAUAAUGACGGUACCUCAGGAAUAAGCCUCGGCUAACUACG